AGCGAACGCUGGCGGCAGGCCUAACACAUGCAAGUCGAACGGAUCCUUCGGGAUUAGUGGCGGACGGGUGAGUAACACGUGGGAACGUGCCCUUUGGUUCGGAACAACUCAGGGAAACUUGAGCUAAUACCGGAUGUGCCCUUCGGGGGAAAGAUUUAUCGCCAUUGGAGCGGCCCGCGUCUGAUUAGCUAGUUGGUGAGGUAAAGGCUCACCAAGGCGACGAUCAGUAGCUGGUCUGAGAGGAUGAUCAGCCACAUUGGGACUGAGACACGGCCCAAACUCCUACGGGAGGCAGCAGUGGGGAAUCUAGCGCAAUGGGCGAAAGCCUGACGCAGCCACGCCGCGUGAAUGAUGAGGGUCUUAGGAUUGUAAAAUUCUUUCACCGGGGACGAUAAUGACGGUACCCGGAGAAGAAGCCCCGGCUAACUUCGUGCCAGCAGCCGCAGUAA
RNAcentral lists this ribosomal RNA (449 nucleotides) under uncultured bacterium. RNAcentral's name for it is "partial 16S ribosomal RNA". It matches the Rfam family "Bacterial small subunit ribosomal RNA", at positions 29 to 523 of the family's 1533-position model. The record is from RNAcentral.